Molecule: ribosomal RNA, 1362 nt
Filed under: Triticum aestivum (bread wheat)
Lineage: Eukaryota; Viridiplantae; Streptophyta; Magnoliopsida; Poales; Poaceae
Description: partial small subunit ribosomal RNA
Source: RNAcentral
AUGCCGCCGCCGGAGCUGUGCCACGACCUCCUCGUGGACAUCCUCACCCGCCUCCCUCCGGACGACCCCGGGUGCCUCUUCCGCGCCUCCCUCGUCUGCACCGCGUGGCGCGCCCUCCUCACCAGCCCCGAGUUCGCCCGCCACUACCGCGAGGUCCACCGGACCCCGCCCCUGCUCGGGUUCUUCGAGAACCACGACACCGUCACGCCGUGGUUCGCGCCCUCGUCCCCCGCCGCCUCCCCCUUCCCCCCGCUCUUCCCCGACCGCCGCGACCUCCACGUGCUCGACUCCCGCCACGGCCUCGUCCUCCUCAGAAACCCUAUUCGAAUCACCGAGCAUGACCACGCCGUGAGCCUCAUCGUGUGGGACCCCGUAGGCCGCCGCCAGUGGGAGUCGUUCCCCCCUCCGGAUUUCGCCAGCACCAUCCUCUGCGACGUGGGGGUGGUGGCCUGCGCCGCCGACGACUGCGACCACCUCGGCUGCCAUGGCAGCCCCUUCCUCGUGGGCUACGUGGGCACCGAUUACAGGAGCGCCCACGCCUCCGUCUUCUCUUCGGAGACGAAUAGCUGGAGCCCCGUUGUCUCUUGCCCCCACCCUGAUAUCGAGAUCCUGAGAGGCCAGCCCAAGCCCCUCAUUGGGAAUGCCGUCUACUUCAUCUGCGAGUACCACCCGAAUGAGUAUUUCAUUCUGUGCUUCGACCUCUUCAGCCGGAAACUGUCAAAGUUCGACGGGCCACCCAUCCAUCGCUAUAAGUAUGCCCUCAUGAAAACAGAGGAAGGCGUGCUGGGAUGCGCAAGUAUGCAGGGAUCUCGGCUUCGCCUGUGGUUGACGCAGACUGGUGCCGACGGAGCUGUGACAUGGAUGCGGCGCAGGGUCGUCGACCUCCACAGGCUGCUCCCUUCUAACUCAUUCUUCCGUGUGAUUGGCUUUGAGGAUAGAGUUGGUGCCUUUUAUCUGACGACAGACGAUGGUGUCACGACGGUUGAUCUUAAGUCAGGCCAAGUCAAGAAGAUGUCCGAUUCCAAUAUCGUUCCCUACCAAUCUGUUCCCUACAUAAGCUUCUACACUCCAGAUCAAACCGUUGAGGUGGCCGAGGGGGGCAGAUGGGAGGAAGUGGGCGACAAGGAGGAGGAGGCCGAUGAGAAAGUGGAGCAGCAGGUAGAGAAAGCCGUGCAUGAGCUUUUCACCAAGGGGUCCAAAGCCCUUAAGGAUGAGGACUUCGUAGGCGCUCUAGACUGCAAACGCAGGAUCCUUGAGAUCAGGUUAGGCUUCUUCCUUUCUACCUGCUACCUGCCACUCUUACUCCAAAGCCUAGCUGAAGCGUGCGUACAUAUGGAUUGUUGGAUACAAUGUUCCAAUUAG